AUAGGUGAGCUCCUGGUUUGGAGAGCAAUGAACGACAUGGAAGCACAAGCAUUUCAGAGAGGCAGAGGAGUAAGGGUAAGAGGAGGACGAGGAGGCGGACGAGGAGGAGGAAGAGGUGGAAGGAGAGCAGUAAUCACUGAUGAAAUUCGGGCCACAGUGGUCGACCAUGUCGUGAACCAUGGUUUGACCAUGCAGGAGGCAGGCCAGAGGGUGCAACCAAAUAUUAGCCGCUACUCCGUUGCAUCCAUCAUACGGACGUUCAGGAGAGAAAAUAGAACUGAAAGAUUACCCCGGCGUGGUGGGAGGGAGCGUACCUUCUCAGAUGCACAGGAAACAGCAAUAGUCAACAUGGUUAUGGCAAAUAACGCAUUAACCAUAAGACAAAUAAGGAAUACAAUAAUCAAUGACCAAGUCACAUUCCCCAACAUUCUCACAGUUGGCCAGGCUACAGUGGACCGUGUUCUGAGGCGGAACGCACUAAGAAUGAAGCAGAUAUACAGAGUGCCGUUCAACAGAAACUCUGACAGAGUCAAAGAUUUGCGCCAUGACUAUGUGCAAAGAGUUCUUGAGCUAGAGGCAGCUGAGGAGUCGAAUACAUUUAUUUAUAUUGAUGAGGCUGGUUUCAACCUCUCCAAAACAAGGCGCAGGGGCAGAAACAUCAUUGGACAACGCGCCAUUAUCAAUGUCCCUGGCCAGCGGGGAGGGAAUAUCACUCUGUGUGCUGCCAUAAACCACAACGGCAU
Osmerus eperlanus (European smelt) is the source of this 743-nucleotide long non-coding RNA. RefSeq lists it as uncharacterized. Lineage: Eukaryota; Metazoa; Chordata; Actinopteri; Osmeriformes; Osmeridae. The transcript has 3 exons. The record is from RefSeq and is a predicted model, not a curated record.